RNAcentral lists this ribosomal RNA (795 nucleotides) under uncultured Bacteroidota bacterium. Its description in RNAcentral is "bacterial SSU rRNA". It matches the Rfam family "Bacterial small subunit ribosomal RNA", at positions 52 to 845 of the family's 1533-position model. Lineage: Bacteria; Pseudomonadati; Bacteroidota. The record is from RNAcentral.
UACAUGCAAGUCGUGGGGCAGCGCAGGUAGCAAUACUGGGCGGCGACCGGCAAACGGGUGCGGAACACGUACACAACCUUCCUUCAAGUGGGGAAUAGCCCAGAGAAAUUUGGAUUAAUACCCCGUAACAUAACGAUGUGGCAUCACAUUGUUAUUAUAGCUUCGGCGCUUGUUGAUGGGUGUGCGGCUGAUUAGAUAGUUGGCGGGGUAACGGCCCACCAAGUCUACGAUCAGUAGCUGAUGUGAGAGCAUGAUCAGCCACACGGGCACUGAGACACGGGCCCGACUCCUACGGGAGGCAGCAGUAAGGAAUAUUGGUCAAUGGACGAAAGUCUGAACCAGCCAUGCCGCGUGAAGGAUUAAGGUCCUCUGGAUUGUAAACUUCUUUUAUCUGGGACGAAAAAAGGCGAUUCUUCGUCACUUGACGGUACCAGAUGAAUAAGCACCGGCUAACUCCGUGCCAGCAGCCGCGGUAAUACGGAGGGUGCAAGCGUUAUCCGGAUUCACUGGGUUUAAAGGGUGCGUAGGCGGGCAGGUAAGUCAGUGGUGAAAUCCUAGAGCUUAACUCUAGAACUGCCAUUGAUACUAUCUGUCUUGAAUAUUGUGGAGGUUAGCGGAAUAUGUCAUGUAGCGGUGAAAUGCUUAGAUAUGACAUAGAACACCUAUUGCGAAGGCAGCUAACUACGCAUAUAUUGACGCUGAGGCACGAAAGCGUGGGGAUCAAACAGGAUUAGAUACCCUGGUAGUCCACGCCCUAAACGAUGAUUACUCGACAUUUGUGAUACACUAUAAGUG